RNAcentral lists this unclassified non-coding RNA (337 nucleotides) under soil metagenome. RNAcentral describes it as "partial contains 5.8S ribosomal RNA, internal transcribed spacer 2, and large subunit ribosomal RNA". The stretch from base 1 to 120 matches the Rfam family "5.8S ribosomal RNA", at positions 35 to 154 of the family's 154-position model. The record is from RNAcentral.
GAUGAAGAACGCAGCGAAAUGCGAUAAGAAGUGUGAAUUGCAGAAUUCAGUGAAUCAUCGAAUCUUUGAACGCACAUUGCGCCCCUUGGUAUUCCAUGGGGCAUGCCUGUUCGAGCGUCAUUUGUACCUUCAAGCCUUGCUUGGUGUUGGGUGUUUGUCUCGCCUCUGCGCGCAGACUCGCCUCAAAACAAUUGGCAGCCGGCGUAUUGAUUUCGGAGCGCAGUACAUCUCGCGCUUUGCACUCAGGACGACGACGUCCAAAAGUACAUUUUUACACUCUUGACCUCGGAUCAGGUAGGGAUACCCGCUGAACUUAAGCAUAUCAAUAAACGGAGGA